Molecule: ribosomal RNA, 205 nt
Filed under: uncultured bacterium
Lineage: Bacteria
Description: partial 16S ribosomal RNA
Rfam family: Bacterial small subunit ribosomal RNA
Source: RNAcentral
UACAGAGGGUGCAAGCGUUGUUCGGAAUUAUUGGGCGUAAAGGGCGCGUAGGCGGUGCGGUAAGUCUGUAGUGAAAUCUCUGGGCUCAACUCAGAGUCUGCUAUAGAAACUGCCGUGCUUGAGUGUGGGAGAGGUGAGUGGAAUUCCCGGUGUAGCGGUGAAAAUGCGUAGAUAUCGGGAGGAACACCUGUGGCGAAAGCGGCUC